This is a long non-coding RNA of Gallus gallus (chicken), 2099 nucleotides long. The record is from Ensembl. Lineage: Eukaryota; Metazoa; Chordata; Aves; Galliformes; Phasianidae.
CUUAUAUGUGUGUAUAUAUAUAUAUAUAUGUGGAUGCCUUUAUGCUGUUGAUGUUUUUUUUCAUGGUCUCUCUAGGUUAGUAUUUCCUUAUCAGUUUUAAGUUCUGCAUCUCUACUUCAAAUAAGAUGAGAUGGAGUCCUUGAUUUCAGUUGCUAUAUGCUUCUCUUCAUCCUUCCCAACUAAACAUGGAGCUUUGUUGGAUACCAGCCCUCUUCUGGAAUCUUGCCAAAAGCAGGUGCUUCCUACAACACGUGAUGGCCUGUUUGAAAUAACAAAUUCUGUUAGGCAACAAUGGAGAAGAAAGAAAAACCAGAUACUGGGUGGGCAUUUUGGAUCACAGUAAUAUAAGGAAGCCUAAAGUUGUGUCUCUCGCCUAACUCCUCGGUGUCUCCAUAUCCAGAAAGGUGGAUGGAUCUCUCUUUGCAGUGACCAAGAAGGCAGAGUUCAUGGUGCACUUGGCAGACCUUGCUGGGUUGUUCACAGGUUAGAUAUGAGGAGGGUUCAUUACCCUGAAAUGAUGGUUUUCUGCUUUAAACUCAUUUGUGUUAAGGUAGGGAAAGAAUGAUUCUGCUACCAGGUCAAUCACCCCCAAUUCUCUUCUUGUUUCUUUUUAUACUUGGGCUCAAUUUCCUCCUUCUCCCCAGAGUUGACAUCUCAGUUAUAAGGAAAUCCAUAAAUUUUACUUCCUUUUAGAGCUGCCAAGGUUGUGUAUGGUUUGCUUUUUUUCAUGGUGAUCAGGGUGCUGUUGAGAGCAUUUGAACAGGCUUACAUACUCUCUUUUCUCUGCACAGAUAGCAAGGCUUUAUUCUGUAGCCUCUAUAAAGCCACAGAAAAGCUCCGUUUGUCAGUGAUGGAAAUUAGUGGAUACCUUUGUUCUCUCACUUUCUGCCAUGUAUCAGUUUUCUUAUGUGGGGUCAUAUUAUGGACUGAUUACAGGAUCAGAGCCUGUCUCCAUCUUAUUAGCAGAAGCUGUGGGAAAAGAAAGGAAUACAGAGAAAAGAAGCAACUGGAUAAGGCAAAUCUUUGCUCCUAAUCUGAGUAUUGUAUGUAAUGGCUGCCUGGGAAACGUGUGGUAGGAGAAAUUAAUGAUUCUGAAAUGAGAAAAACCUGGUAAGACAAUGUCUUCAAACCCAGCUCUGGAUGCUUCUGUAAAUCCUACAAAUCCCAGUGCAUCAAAGGUGCAGUAAAGGGGCCACUUUAUCCUCGAGUUUGUUGGUCUACUGGGAAACACUGCCAGCUCCUGAGAAGGCAGCACCUUGCGUUGUUCUACCUUACUCUGGCUCUCAGCCCAGUGUGGAGUCCCAGGGAGAGAGAGAAUUACCGCAACGCUUCAGGAAAGGAUAAACAAGCGGUAAGUGGAUGUUAACGUGGGCAAAGAGGACAGUGCGUCAGCAGAAUAAAAUGGCGUGAACAACUGACCUAAUGGUUACUACUACAAGAAAAGAAAAAUCUUGUGCAAAGGCUAGAGGUGGGAAAUCCGGAGAAUGCUUGUGAGCUGGAGGAAGGGAUUGAUCAGUACAUUUAUUUUUCUUGUUUGUUUUGUUUUGCAUGUAGGCAGGGGCCUCACAGUACUCUUGGAGAAUUUUAGUUGCUUCAGAUGAUGAGAUAAAUAGGGAAAGUGGUACUUGCACUGGGGGCACAUUGGAGUCCUUCCCUUUUUGUGAAAUUUCUUACUUUCUCUGGAUACAAAUUUAGCAGAAGGGAAAGCAAAAUAGAAGUGCCAGGCUGUGUCUGAAUGUCAUAAUAGAGGAGGUUUUCAAAGGUUCCGGUGAAUCAAAUAAGAUCACAGGUGCAUGCUCAAAUAGUGCUCAUGAAUUCCAGGCGGUUUAAUGAGGCUGCAUGCUGCACAAAUCAACUGCUAUGAUGUAUAAGAACAGGUCUAGACCAGAUUGCAGAAUUUUUAUUGUUAAAAAAGGCUGAAUUUUGGUUAUCACUUUCCCCUCUCUCUCUCUCUCUUUCUCUCUCUCUCUUCUUUUUUCCUGGGAUGCAAAUUCUUCAGACAUGAAGCUAAAUUUCAUAUGUCUGGGAGCUUCAUUCUCUUCUUGGAGACAUAAGACCAAGAGAAGGAUUAUGAAAAGUCUUUCCACCCAUACCUGCAG